Molecule: ribosomal RNA, 301 nt
Filed under: uncultured bacterium
Lineage: Bacteria
Description: partial 16S ribosomal RNA
Rfam family: Bacterial small subunit ribosomal RNA
Source: RNAcentral
CAGUAGCCGCGGGAAUACGUAGGUCCCGAGCGUUGUCCGGAUUUAUUGGGCGUAAAGGGAGCGCAGGCGGUUUAGUAAGUCUGAAGUUAAAGGCAUUGGCUCAACCAAUGUAUGCUUUGGAAACUGUUAGACUUGAGUGCAGAAGGGGAGAGUGGAAUUCCAUGUGUAGCGGUGAAAUGCGUAGAUAUAUGGAGGAACACCGGUGGCGAAAGCGGCUCUCUGGUCUGUCACUGACGCUGAGGCUCGAAAGCGUGGGUAGCGAACAGGAUUAGAUACCCGUGUAGUCCCUGUCUCUUAUACC